Malus domestica (apple) is the source of this 1688-nucleotide non-coding RNA. The record is from RefSeq and is a predicted model, not a curated record. Lineage: Eukaryota; Viridiplantae; Streptophyta; Magnoliopsida; Rosales; Rosaceae.
UCAGAACCCCAGAAACCUCAGCCCUCAAGUUCGCCAUCUCUCUUCCAUCUAUACUCUCUUUGAUCUCUGCUUUGCGCUUUUCAAAGUUUGCUAUUUGAUCUCUUCCAUCGGCUUUUCUCUGAGAGUCCAACUCGAGUCCUCAAGUAAAAACCCUAUGCUUCCCUGUUUUUCUUCUCAGCAUCUUACAAAAUCUUUUCAGUUUUAGCAGCAGCGGCCACCACUUUUCCUGAAAGGAAUCUAUCUUCCUCCUCACAGUUUCUCAAAUUAUUAGGCUUUUUUCCUUUAACCUUUGGUUGAGCUCUGAGUCUAUGACCACAUUUUUAGGGUAUUCGACGACCGAUCGGAGGGUUUUGGCCGAAUUCCGAAGUGGGUUCACUCUUUCGGCGAGAUUAAUUUCGUCUUCAGGAGAUUAAUUAAAAGUUAGAAGGGUGGAGCCAGUUGUUUUUGAAAAAGGCCAAAAUUUUCCAGGAAGAAAAUUAAGCUUGAAAUUAAAUUGGGGACUUGAAAGAAAUUGUGAAAAACUGCAUUAAGGUACUCCCCCAACGAAGCCGUCAAUCACCUGUUCACCCAAGAUUUACAAGACAAUGAACAUCGUAACAAUUCUGACUUAAAGCCUCUUUUGAACCAAUUCAAAGGCUUACAAUGGACAGUUGAACUGGAACCAAGUUUGCAAUCACUCUUGGACUUCUAGCUCUUAACGCAAUUGAACAAGGAAAUCUAAAACCCAAAUUUAGAGGUAAUCAAAAUAAUUUUACCAAUUUUCAGCAUUUGAGGUUUUAAUACCGUUUUUUCCAAUUCAACGAACACAAUAUGCAAUUUGUAAAAAUUACAAAAAUAUCAUUGUCCUGAUCCUAGAAACCAUCGUUCUUCAUUCCCCUUAAAUUAUAUGUUACAUGAACAAAUAAAUCAAGUCACAAAGAAUCAAUCAUAUUGCCCACUCAUUUUUCAAAUCCAAUGCACAACUUUUUAAUAUCAGAAAAAUUGCUGAUAUUAUUGGACAACUUUCCAAAGGUUUGUUUUUGCCCUUCAGUUGCUCUUCAAAUGUAGCUUUUUUUAAAUGUUACAAGUAAUAUGACGGUUUUGACCUUGAUGCCGAGUCUCUUCCUCGGAAAUUGCUAGAAAAAUCGGUUGCUUUGCUACGUGAUUGACCAUUUUGAUCAUGCUUCCUUCGCUCCGCUUCAUGAACUCUUCAAUCCUUGCUUCGUCAUAUCUUCCAUCUUGCUUCAUCAUCUCUUCCAUCUCUGCUUCGCAAUCUCCUAGCCGUCUCAUCCUACACUCGAUUUUUCUAGCCUUCCACAGGUAUUUAAGCCUCACUUUUCUUAAGAAUCUAAAUAUUUGAUUUUUCGCUGUGGUUUGUAACUUUGAUCAUAAAUUUAAAUCUUCUCCUCAUAGUGACUAUUUUACCUUUUAUCUCGCUCACAGUCAUCGCAAUAAUUCUCAAACCCUCAAAACGACAAAUCAAUAUGAUUAAAAUGCUAUAAUCCUAAUCUAGGUCUGCCAUUUGUUCAAGUUGGCAACAACUAUAGAGGUAAGCUCUCUGCUAAUAUUUUCUAAUUCACACUUUAUUUCUUUUUACAUAUGAGUAAAUUUUUUCAUGGAUUUAUAUAUAUUUUUUUCAUGUGAAUUCAAACUCAAAUCGGAAUUACAUACUAGUAGAAACAAAUUUAAUAAAUUUUUUAUUUGCGUGU